AAGUCGUAACAAGGUUUCCGUAGGACGUCAGUCCUCGGGCAUUGUAUCCUUCUGUGGAUUUGCUUGCUGAAACCUUAGCGAAACCACCUCCCGGUGGUGAUCUGACUUAAAAUAAAACGCUGGUCUACCUCUGUGUAGACGACAUCACUCUAUUGCAGGAACGUUCCUUAAAACGUGAUUUACCUGCAGCCGCUCCAACAGGCCGUUCAGGCACUAUUGGGUGGUCCACAGACUAAGUUGUGAUGGGCGUGGAAAGUCAACUUUCUGCGUCUCA
Molecule: unclassified non-coding RNA, 274 nt
Filed under: Capronia sp.
Lineage: Eukaryota; Fungi; Ascomycota; Eurotiomycetes; Chaetothyriales; Herpotrichiellaceae
Description: partial contains internal transcribed spacer 1
Source: RNAcentral